UUUAACUGAAGAGUUUGAUCAUGGCUCAGAUUGAACGCUGGCGGCAGGCUUAACACAUGCAAGUCGAGCGGGGGAAGGUAGCUUGCUACUGGACCUAGCGGCGGACGGGUGAGUAAUGCUUAGGAAUCUGCCUAUUAGUGGGGGACAACAUCUCGAAAGGGAUGCUAAUACCGCAUACGUCCUACGGGAGAAAGCAGGGGAUCUUCGGACCUUGCGCUAAUAGAUGAGCCUAAGUCGGAUUAGCUAGUUGGUGGGGUAAAGGCCUACCAAGGCGACGAUCUGUAGCGGGUCUGAGAGGAUGAUCCGCCACACUGGGACUGAGACACGGCCCAGACUCCUA
Molecule: ribosomal RNA, 340 nt
Filed under: Acinetobacter baumannii
Lineage: Bacteria; Pseudomonadati; Pseudomonadota; Gammaproteobacteria; Moraxellales; Moraxellaceae
Description: bacterial SSU rRNA
Rfam family: Bacterial small subunit ribosomal RNA
Source: RNAcentral